RNAcentral lists this unclassified non-coding RNA (409 nucleotides) under Hevea brasiliensis (rubber tree). Lineage: Eukaryota; Viridiplantae; Streptophyta; Magnoliopsida; Malpighiales; Euphorbiaceae. The record is from RNAcentral.
CCUUCUUCAGGGAAAUGGCCGCUUCCCAUUUGUGUGGUGGAGUGCUGCCCAUCAAAUUCUGAGUUUACAAUCUCACCUCCCCACUCAAUCAUUGUAGCACUGUCGGCCAGGUAAGAGAAGAGCGAAGCUGGCCAAUAUCCUAGCACAUAGUUAUUUCCAAAUUGUAUCCACCAGUUACCCUCUUUUGGGUCCUUCCAAAUAAGUAGGCUGAUAUCAUAUUGGGAGCUACCAUAGCUAGAAACAGGGUAGAUGCUUGCACCCAUUGCUAUUUGAUUAUUGAUUUGAAUAAAGCCUGAACACAGGAGAUUGUAGCAACCCGUGGCUUGAUAUGCAUCACUAGUCCAAUAAGUGAAGAGUCUAGUUCUGUUAUCUCCAUAUAAAUCUGGACUGACCUGCCAGCCAGCUUCAA